UACGUAGGGUGCAAGCGUUGUCCGGAAUUAUUGGGCGUAAAGAGCUCGUAGGCGGUUUGUCGCGUCGAAUGUGAAAACCCGGGGCUCAACCCCGGGCCUGCAUUCGAUACGGGCAGACUAGAGUUCGGUAGGGGAGUCUGGAAUUCCUGGUGUAGCGGUGAAAUGCGCAGAUAUCAGGAGGAACACCGGUGGCGAAGGCGGGACUCUGGGCCGAAUACUGACGCUGAGGAGCGAA
Molecule: ribosomal RNA, 235 nt
Filed under: uncultured bacterium
Lineage: Bacteria
Description: partial 16S ribosomal RNA
Rfam family: Bacterial small subunit ribosomal RNA
Source: RNAcentral